RNAcentral lists this ribosomal RNA (434 nucleotides) under uncultured Phenylobacterium sp. Its description in RNAcentral is "bacterial SSU rRNA". It matches the Rfam family "Bacterial small subunit ribosomal RNA", at positions 8 to 489 of the family's 1533-position model. Lineage: Bacteria; Pseudomonadati; Pseudomonadota; Alphaproteobacteria; Caulobacterales; Caulobacteraceae. The record is from RNAcentral.
AGAGUUUGAUCAUGGCUCAGAACGAACGCUGGCGGCAGGCCUAACACAUGCAAGUCGAGCGCCCCCGCAAGGGGGAGCGGCGGACGGGUGAGUAACGCGUGGGAAUUUUCCUCAAGGUACGGAACAACUCAGGGAAACUUGGGCUAAUACCGUAUGAUGUCUAGCGACCAAAGAUUUAUCGCCUUGGGAUAAGCCCGCGUCAGAUUAGGUAGUUGGUGGGGUAACGGCCUACCAAGCCUGCGAUCUGUAGCUGGUCUGAGAGGACGAUCAGCCACACUGGGACUGAGACACGGCCCAGACUCCUACGGGAGGCAGCAGUGGGGAAUCUUGCGCAAUGGGCGAAAGCCUGACGCAGCCAUGCCGCGUGAAUGAUGAAGGUCUUAGGAUUGUAAAGUUCUUUCGCCCGUGACGAUGAUGACGGUAACGGAGAAGAG